GACGAACGCUGGCGGCGUGCUUAACACAUGCAAGUCGAACGGAAAGGCCCUGCUUUUGUGGGGUGCUCGAGUGGCGAACGGGUGAGUAACACGUGAGUAACCUGCCCUUGUCUUUGGGAUAACUUCAGGAAACUGGGGCUAUUACCGGAUAGGAGCUCCUGCUGCAUGGUGGGGGUUGGAAAGUUUCGGCGGUUGGGGAUGGACUCGCGGCUUAUCAGCUUGUUGGUGGGGUAGUGGCUUACCAAGGCUGUGACGGGUAGCCGGCCUGAGAGGGUGAACGGCCACAUUGGGACUGAGAUACGGACCAGACUCCUACGGGCGGCAGCAGUGGGGAAUAUUGCACAAUGGGCGGAAGCCUGAUGCAGCGACGCCGCGUGCGGGAUGACGGCCUUCGGGUUGUAAACCGCUUUCGCCUGUGACGAAGCGUGAGUGACGGUAAUGGGUAAAGAAGCACCGGCUAACUACGUG
This 468-nucleotide ribosomal RNA is filed under the name uncultured bacterium. Its description in RNAcentral is "partial 16S ribosomal RNA". It matches the Rfam family "Bacterial small subunit ribosomal RNA", at positions 28 to 507 of the family's 1533-position model. The record is from RNAcentral.